CAGUAGUGAUGAAAUUCCAUUUCAUUGGUCCGUGUUUCUGAACAGCAUGAUUUUCUUGGAUAUUCUGAUACU
Small nucleolar RNA from Castor canadensis (American beaver), 72 nucleotides. Its record names the gene SNORD18. It matches the Rfam family "Small nucleolar RNA SNORD18". Rfam says of the family: U18 is a member of the C/D class of snoRNA which contain the C (UGAUGA) and D (CUGA) box motifs. NCBI's taxonomy places the organism in Eukaryota, Metazoa, Chordata, Mammalia, Rodentia, Castoridae. The record is from Ensembl.